AAUUUUGGACAAUGGGGGAAACCCUGAUCCAGCCAUCCCGCGUGUAUGAUGAAGGCCUUCGGGUUGUAAAGUACUGUUUGCAGAGAAGAAAAGGUCUCUCCUAAUACGAGAUACUGCUGACGGUUUCUGCAGAAUAAGCACCUGCUACCUACUUGCCAGCAGCCGCGGUAAUACGUAGGGUGCAAGCGUUAAUCGGAAUUACGGGUCGUAACGCGUGUGUAGGCGGUUCGGAAAGAAAGAUGUGAAAUCCCAGGGCUCAACCUUGGAACUGCAUUUUUAACUGCCGAGCUAGAGUAUGUCAGAGGGGGGUAGAAUUCCACGUGUAGCAGUGAAAUGCGUAGAUAUGUGGAGGAAUACCGAUGGCGAAGGCAGCCCCCUGGGAUAAUACUGACGCUCAGACACGAAAGCGUGGGGAGCAAACA
This 422-nucleotide ribosomal RNA is filed under the name uncultured bacterium. RNAcentral's name for it is "partial 16S ribosomal RNA". It matches the Rfam family "Bacterial small subunit ribosomal RNA", at positions 360 to 774 of the family's 1533-position model. The record is from RNAcentral.